AUCGCUUCUCGGCCUUUUGGCUAAGAUCAAGUGUAGAACUUUACUGUAUACAAAAUUUUUUUCAUAAAAAGUGUUGGAAGCCCUA
RNAcentral lists this small nuclear RNA (85 nucleotides) under Myotis lucifugus (little brown bat). RNAcentral describes it as "U2 spliceosomal RNA". It matches the Rfam family "U2 spliceosomal RNA". From Rfam's summary of the family: U2 is a small nuclear RNA (snRNA) component of the spliceosome (involved in pre-mRNA splicing). Complementary binding between U2 snRNA (in an area lying towards the 5' end but 3' to hairpin I) and the branchpoint sequence (BPS) of the intron results the bulging out of an unpaired adenosine, on the BPS, which initiates a nucleophilic attack at the intronic 5' splice site, thus starting the first of two transesterification reactions that mediate splicing. Lineage: Eukaryota; Metazoa; Chordata; Mammalia; Chiroptera; Vespertilionidae. The record is from Rfam by way of RNAcentral.